UUCUUUUAUUCUUGUUUGAGCCUCUAUUCUUCUUUGCCACCUCCUCUGCUCUUUUCUGUUUAACACCCUUGGAAAUCUCAAGACCCUACUGUUUGAGAUGUGAUUGCUGUGGAAUGUGUUAUUACCGUCUCUCACCCAGACCAUUGUAAUAACCUCCUAAAUAAUCUCCGCUCCUUUCUCUCCCUUUGGAGAGGAAACAAUAUUAUUAUUUUGUAUUAUUAUUCAAAAUCUUUGUAUGUCUUUGUUAGGGUUUCCCUCCUCCCUGUGGGAGAAUUGUGCUCUUGUCUUUUGAUGUCGGACUUGACCCCAUGAUUUCCUCUGGUCAAUGAAAUGUAAUUAGAAGUAACUCAGGGCACUUGUGAGCAGAAGGUUUAAGAGGCAGCACCUGGUUCACUCUGUCUUUUUCCCUUCGCUAUGAGACUGGCAAGGUUCCAGAUAGCAACUGUUCUAGCAGCCAGGGUCCUGGAGAGAAGUCAACAUGAAGCAGAGCCACAGAUACGCCACAGAUAAGCUUAUGUAAUGAAGUAGAGACGGGUUUUCACCAUGUUGGCCAGCCCGGUCUUGAACUCCGUCAGCCUCCCAAAGUGCUAGGAUUAACAGGCGUGAGCCGGCACGCCCGGCCUCCCCGCUGAAUCCUUUCUUCAUUUUAUCAUAAUCCUUCUAAAUACACUUUCGGGAACUUUAAAAGAUGCCUACCACCAUUUGUCUCUCAUGAAGAUGUGAACUGCGACUGGAAACAGCUCAGUCUCUCACAGAUAGGAUCUCGCUGAUGCCCUGGAUACUGCCACAAGGGAUUCGCGUGGGCUGGAGUGCAGUAGCACCAUCACAGCUCACUGCAGCUGCAGGAUCACAGUUCAUUGCCCCUUCAACUUCCUGGCCUCAAGCCAUCCUUCUGCCUUGGCCUCCUGAGUAGCUUGGACUACUGGUGCUAGCCACCAUGCCCAGGAGGAUGAAAUUUAACCACAUCAAAGAAACCUACAGCUCUGAUACUCUCAGAAAAAAUAAGACUCAACACAAAGAGAGUAAAAAGAGUUAUUCUGUCAACGAAGGGUCUUGACCGAAUAAUGUAUACAUCAGAUCUUUUCAUCUUGCACUUCUUGGACACUGUGAUUCAAAAGGGAGAUUAUUUGUGUCAGUAAAGAAGUAUCCAUAAUGAUAAAACACAAGUACUUCAAAGAACAACCUGUGCUUCUCAAAAGGAAAAUAGUUUGGAUCCAUUUACUUUUCUCCUCUACUUCACAUUCUAAAUGACUGAGAAAAUGUCUUCUCGUUUUCAAUACAACCCAUGGGAAAUCAUACUCAAAUAAGUAGUAACUGAAUGAACUAAUCUGGAAAAGUGGUCCUCAAUUUGUUUCUGUAAUAUCAGCUAUCACAAUACUGCCUUGAUAUUUCAUACAAUUCUGCAGAGUAUAAAAAAGCAAAAGCCUCUAAAAGUUGGUACUAGAAUGUACUACACGCUCAAUAUAGACCACAAAAUGGAUCAGACAUGAAGCUUAGUAUUGUCUGUGUGCACAGUGUUUAAAUAUUCCCUUGUUUUAAAAGUGCCAGUGUUUGUUAAGUAACUUAAAAUAUUUGCCACAUGUAGCUUAUUUUUUUUACUUUUUAUUAUAUUUUUGUCAUAGGUAAAAAAGUGAAAAGAUUUAUGACAGUCAUUUUUUUAAAACUAAGUUAAGCUAUAUAAAUUGUUGUGAAAUAAAAUACAUUUUAAUUAUAUACAAUAAAGAUCCUAAUUUUAAUUUGCAAGUAUUUUCAAGAUUACAAGUAACGUUAUCAAUUGUUUUACUUAUAACAAUAUUCCUAGGGUGUCUACAUUUAAUAAUUCUAAGUUUUUAAAACAAUUUUAAACUAUUUCAUUUAACAGACAAUACAAACUAACUAAGAUAAAUUGAGAAAUAUAAAUAUCCCUCACCUGUGUUUUUAAAAUUAGAGACAACUUUUGUAUCAUUCCAGAUAUAAUUUAUACCUAUAUAAAUGUGUUUAUUUUAAAUGUGCCAUUUAAAAGAACUGGUUUAUGCUUUGAAAUGGCUGCAUAAUAUUCUACUCUACCUAGAUACCAUUAAAUAUUGAAUCAGCUCUCUAUUGUGUGUUUUUUGCUGUUGUUACUGACAGAUUUUGUAAUUACAAUGCAGAUUAAAAACUUGUUUUAAAAAAUGUGAUUUUGCUCAUAGACAUAUGUCUUUAGAAUACAUUCGUCAUAGUACAAUUGCUGAGACAAAGAGUUUACGCAUUUGGAAAUUUUAUAAAUAUUAUCACAUUGCUUUCUAUCAAUAUCAUCUCACAAGUAUAAUGACAAGUGAAAGAUACUAGGUAUGAACAUUUAUGUAGUAUUCAAAAGCAGAUAAGUUUAUUACCCUGUCAGAAGAUAGCAAAAUGAUUAACUUUAUGAAGGUUUCAAGCACUUAGUUUGAGGGAAGGCAGGAUAGGCAGUUUCAUGAGAAAGGUAUGUCCCAUCUCUUGAUCAGGGUGAAGUUUAAAUGGAGUUGUUUCCUUGAUGAUGCAUCAAAGUCACCACUUGAAAUUUGAUUACUUUUUAAUAUAUGCUAUACUUCAAAAUGUUUAUUAACAUGCAAAUCAUAUAAUGAAUUCCAUUAAUUUAGUGAGAGAAAUUUUUUUUAUAUGCUUCGAAGUCAUUUGUUUUGUUGUUUGCGUUUACUCAGAACAGUGUGUCAAUCUCCUUGACUGAUAUUUCUAUUGUUUCUAGCAGGUCAUUUAAUAGUUUAUAAUGUUUAUAUUUUCAAAGUUUAUUGGGGUGUAAUUUAUUUAUAAUACUGUACAUAUUUAAAGUUCAAAAUAAGUUAAGCCUUAACAUGUAUAUACAGCCAUGAACACAUAACCAUAAAGUAGGUCCUAAAUAUAUUCACCACUCACAAAUGUUUCCUUGUGAACCUUUGUCAUUCCACCCGCCCUUACUUCUUCCGCAUAAUCUCCAUCUAUAGCAACUACCAAUCUAUUUUCUGUUAUUAUAAAUUAAUGUGCAUUUUCUGGAAUUUUAUAUAAAUGGAAUCAUAUCAUAUGUACUUUGUUUUGUCUUGUUUUUUCAGUAAAAUUAUUUUGAGAUUCAUACAUGUUGUUACAUGUAUCAAUAGUUCAUUACUUUUUAUUGUUGAGUAGUAUUUCAUCAUAUGGAUAUGCCACAAUGUGUUCACACCUUAACAUAAAUUUGUCAAUGUAGUUUCCAGUCAUUGGUUAUUAAAUAUAAAGUUUCUUGAAAACUGAUCUAUAAGUAUUGAUAUGGAAUGUGAUUUCUUUUCUCUUGGGUAAAUUCCUGGAAGAAAAUUGGUUCUAUCAAAUGGUGUUUGCAUGUUUAACAGUUAUAGCCAAACCAUUUUCCAAAGUGGUUGUAAUAUUUUACAUUCCUCACAGCAGUGUAUGAGAAAUCAAAUUGUUCCAAAAGUUUGCUAAGACUUGUACAUUUAGAUGUAUCACCAAUUUUGGGUAAAUUUUUGUACUAAUUGUGAGUUGCAAUUGAGGUUCACUUUUUUAUAUGGAUACUCCUUUUUUUACACAAUACAUGUUGAAAGCAUCACCUUGUAUUAAUUGAACUGCCUUUGCAUCUUAUUAAAAUCAGUUUCAAUAUAUGUGAGGUUCUAUUUCUGAACUCUAUUCUCUGUUACAUUGAUUUAUGUGAACACUUUUUCACUGAAGCCACACUAUUUUGAGAACUGUAGUCUUGAAAUUGAGUAUUGGUAAUCCUCUAAAUGUGUUUGUUUUUAUAAAAAUUGUUUUGGCUAUUUAGAUCACUUUGCCAUUCAAAUAAAAUUUAAAAUCUGCUUGUUGAUAGCUACAGAAAAGUUACUGGCAUUUUAACUAGGAAUACAUUAAACUUAUAGAUAAGAUUGAGGAGAAUUGCCAUUUUAUUCUUCCAAUUAAUGGCUAUAUUACAUG
RNAcentral lists this long non-coding RNA (3885 nucleotides) under Homo sapiens (human). Its description in RNAcentral is "HSALNT0044400". Lineage: Eukaryota; Metazoa; Chordata; Mammalia; Primates; Hominidae. The record is from RNAcentral.